GCCAGCUGCCGCCAUGACCAGCAGCAUGUGAAGACGCCGGUAAGCCACCAGCCACGUGGCAAGCUUCUUUCCCCUCUCUAUACACGGAAUGUGGAUUUUGCCGAGGUUAAAGAUCAGUAAUGCAGUCCAUCUUUUAGUCGAGGAGAAGGCAGGAAAACAAAUGAGCCUUCCUCCACAUUUCGAUGAGAAGACUCCGAAUGAGGUCGCGUAAGGACCUGCGGACAUAAUUCAGAAGAACAGCUGGAGAAGGAGGAGAAGGCAGGCUUCAGGGAACGUAAAACGGCAGCAGAAGCUCUGAGAUCAAGUUGAGAUCCAUCAAGCUGACAGUCACAGCCUGUCUGCGGACUUAGUUACGAACUGCUGAGGUACCAGGACGCGGGCCCAAAUGGUCACGUGAUGCCAAGCUGGAAGUCAGGUGAUGCACCUGGAGUGGCCAGCCUAGAAUGAUCAACUUUCUGCAGAGGGGGAGCUGUAGAGAAGUUUAAUGGUGUUGGGGAUGGGGAGAUGGAUCAGAUGAACUUUAUAUAUUAAAAAAAAAAGUCCAGGA
This is a non-coding RNA of Peromyscus maniculatus bairdii (prairie deer mouse), 547 nucleotides long. The record is from RefSeq and is a predicted model, not a curated record. NCBI's taxonomy places the organism in Eukaryota, Metazoa, Chordata, Mammalia, Rodentia, Cricetidae.